RNAcentral lists this ribosomal RNA (418 nucleotides) under uncultured Staphylococcus sp. RNAcentral describes it as "bacterial SSU rRNA". It matches the Rfam family "Bacterial small subunit ribosomal RNA", at positions 358 to 767 of the family's 1533-position model. The record is from RNAcentral. Lineage: Bacteria; Bacillati; Bacillota; Bacilli; Caryophanales; Staphylococcaceae.
GGGAUUCUUCCCAAUGGGAGGAAAUUUGGAGGAGCAACGCCGCGUGAGUGAUUAAGGUUUUUGGAUUGUAAAAAUUUGUUAUUAGGGAAGGACAAGUACCGUUCGAUUAUGGCGGUACCUUGACGGUACCUAACCAGAAAGCCACGGCUAACUACGUGCCAGCAGCCGCGGUAAUACGUAGGUGGCAAGCGUUGUCCGGAAUUAUUGGGCGUAAAGGGCGCGCAGGCGGCCUUUUAAGUAUGAUGUGAAAGCCCCCGGCUCAACCGGGGAGGGUCAUUGGAAACUGGGAAACUUGAGUGCAGAAGAGAAGAGUGGAAUUCCUUGUGUAGCGGUGAAAUGCGUAGAGAUGUGGAGGAACACCAGUGGCGAAGGCGACUCUCUGGUCUGUAUCUGACGCUGAGGAGCGAAAGCGUGGGUU